UAGGGAAUCUUCCGCAAUGGACGAAAGUCUGACGGAGCAACGCCGCGUGAACGAAGAAGGCCUUCGGGUCGCAAAGCUCUGUUGUUAGGGAAGAACAAGUAUCGGAGUAACUGCCGGUACCUUGACGGUACCUAACCAGAAAGCCACGGCUAACUACGUGCCAGCAGCCGCGGUAAUACGUAGGUGGCAAGCGUUGUCCGGAAUUAUUGGGCGUAAAGCGCGCGCAGGCGGUCCUUUAAGUCUGAUGCGAAAGCCCACGGCUCAACCGUGGAGGGUCAUUGGAAACUGGGGGACUUGAGUGCAGAAGAGGAGAGUGGAAUUCCACGUGUAGCGGUGAAAUGCGUAGAGAUGUGGAGGAACACCAGUGGCGAAGGCGACUCUCUGGUCUGUAACUGACGCUGAGGCGCGAAAGCGUGGGGAGCAAACAGGAUUAGAUACCCUGGUAGUCCACGCCGUAAACGAUGAGUGCUAAGUGUUAGAGGG
RNAcentral lists this ribosomal RNA (483 nucleotides) under uncultured Bacillota bacterium. RNAcentral's name for it is "bacterial SSU rRNA". It matches the Rfam family "Bacterial small subunit ribosomal RNA", at positions 355 to 830 of the family's 1533-position model. Lineage: Bacteria; Bacillati; Bacillota. The record is from RNAcentral.